CUUGGUCAUUUAGAGGAAGUAAAAGUCGUAACAAGGUUUCCGUAGGUGAACCUGCGGAAGGAUCAUUAACGAGUUAGGGUCUUCUAGGCCCGACCUCCCAACCCUAUGUUUAUUGAACCUCUGUUGCUUCGGCGGACCCGUCUCAUGACCGCCGGAGGACCGCCGAAAGGCGUCCUCUGGCCAGCGUCCGCCGAUGGCCAACCACUUAAAACUCUGAAUGAAUCGUGUCAUAUGUCUAAGUCUAUGAUUAAAUUAAAGCAAAACUUUCAACAACGGAUCUCUUGGUUCUGGCAUCGAUGAAGAACGCAGCGAAAUGCGAUAAGUAAUGCGAAUUGCAGAAUUCCAGUGAGUCAUCGAAUCUUUGAACGCACAUUGCGCCCUUUGGUAUUCCGAAGGGCAUGCCUGUUCGAGCGUCAUUAUCACCCCUCAAGCCCCGCGCUUGGUGUUGGACGGCCGGUCGAGCGAUCGACCCCUCCUAAAGACAAUGACGGCGGCCUGCGGUUCCCCCGGUACACUGAGCUUUUAACCGAGCACGUAUCGGACCAGGGCACCCGGGACCCGGUCCUCUCCUUUAACUAGGAAACUUCUAAGGUUGACCUCGGAUCAGGUAGGAAUACGCGCUGAACUUAAGCAUAUCAAUAAGCGCAGGAAAAGAAACCAACAGGGAUUACCUCAGUAACGGCGAGUGAAGCGGUAAUAGCUCAAAUUUGAAAUCUGGCCUCUCGGGGUCCGAGUUGUAAUUUGUAGAGGAUGUUUUGGGUACCGCCCCGGUCUAAAUUUCUUGGAACAGAAUGUCACAGAGGGUGAGAAUCCCGUCUUGGACCGGCGGUAGGGCCUGUGUAAAACUCCUUCGACGAGUCGAGUUGUUUGGGAAUGCAGCUCAAAUUGGGUGGUAAUUUCAUCUAAAGCUAAAUAUUGGCCAGAGACCGAUAGCGCACAAGUAGAGUGAUCGAAAGAUGAAAAGCACUUUGAAAAGAGAGUUAAACAGUAUGUGAAAUUGUUGAAAGGGAAGCGCUUGCAACCAGACUUGAGCGCGGCGGUUCCCCCGGUCUUUUGGCCGGGCUACUCCGUCGUGUCCAGGCCAACAUCGGUUCUGAGGGUCGGUCAAAGGCCUAGGGAAUGUAUCUACCCACGGGUAGACUUAUAGACCAGGGUGUCAUGCGGCCUCUCGGGACCGAGGAACGCGCUUCGGCUCGGAUGUUGGCGUAAUGGUUGUCAGCGACCUGUCUUGAAACACGGACC
Molecule: ribosomal RNA, 1242 nt
Filed under: uncultured fungus
Lineage: Eukaryota; Fungi
Description: eukaryotic LSU rRNA
Rfam family: Eukaryotic large subunit ribosomal RNA (bases 594-1242)
Source: RNAcentral